Molecule: ribosomal RNA, 507 nt
Filed under: Teius teyou
Lineage: Eukaryota; Metazoa; Chordata; Lepidosauria; Squamata; Teiidae
Description: partial large subunit ribosomal RNA
Rfam family: Bacterial large subunit ribosomal RNA
Source: RNAcentral
CAUAGCCUUUAGCCUAAUUAGUAUUAAAGGUGAUGCCUGCCCAGUGAUAUUUUUUAAACGGCCGCGGGAUCCUACACCGUGCAAAGGUAGCAUAAUCACUUGUCAUCUAAAUAAUGACUAGUAUGAAUGGCCAAAUGAAGACUUUCCUGUYUYUUGUAAUCAAUCAAUGAAACUGAUCUUUCAGUUCAAAAGCUGAAAUAAUAACACAAGACGAAAAGACCCUGUGGAACUUUUUAAGUGAAAACCAACAACUAUGGCACAACCACUUUUAGUUGGGGCAACUUUGGAACAAAACAAAACUUCCAAUUCAGGUUCAACGAAANUUUUAGGUCUACACACCUUAAACCCACACCACUAUCGACCCAGUACUACUGAUAAAAGAAACAAGCUACCCCAGGGAUAACAGCGCCAUCCCCUCCUAGAGUCCCAAUCGACGAGCGGGGCUUACGACCUCGAUGUUGGAUCAGGGCCCCCAAACAKUGCAGCAGCUGUUAAUGGUUUYUYUUU